GGCUGGUAGUUUCGUGAAAGCUGACACAUUGCUCGGAGGACCCGCCUACCUGUGAGGGAGAGGGAUCUGCGAAGUCUAUUAAAAUGACAGCUCAGACUGUCCACGUCAACACUGAAACACCACCAUGGACUCUGUGGCUUUGGAACCAUCACUCUUCACAGUGAAAGCUGUUUUCAUUCUGGACAACGAUGGAAACAGGCUUGUGUCGAAGUAUUAUGACACAGAGCUAUAUUCCUCCAUGAAGGAGCAGAGGAAUUUUGAAAAGAAGGUGUUCAACAAAACGUACAAAGCCGAUCACGAAAUAGCGUUUUUGGAAGGGUUGACGAUCGUUUACAAGAGCAGCAUCGACCUCUUCUUCUACGUGGUGGGCAGUGCUCAGGAGAACGAGCUCAUGCUGAUGGCCGUACUGAACUGCCUCUUCGAGUCCCUCAGCCAGAUUCUGAGGAAGAACGUGGAGAAGAGGUGUCUACUGGACAACAUGGACGGGGUCUUCUUGGUCGUGGACGAGAUCAUCGAUGGAGGAGUGAUCAUGGAGAGUGACCCCCAACAAGUCAUCCAAAAGGUGAACUAUCGGAAUGUUUCCGAACAGGCCUAUGGUUUCGUCCUCUUUGAUUACAUCACUGGUAAUGUUGAGGGUCAGGGGGACAGGAGCCAGGGCUCGUAGCCCGAGAACAGAGGGAGAGAGAGAGAGGAUGGAUGAAGGAGCGCUGUCAGAGCAGAGCGUGGCUCAGGUUUUGCAGUCUGCGAAGGAUCAGAUCAAAUGGUCGUUACUGAAAUGAUCACGUCUGGAGACGAGAGAAGAGCCCCAAACGCUAAUUGAGUGAAUUGCAGUGUAUAUUUAUAUUUGUAGAACAGUGUAUACAUGUGAGGCACAGGUCUUGUUACAAUUAAAAAUGAAAGAGCUAGUAAGAAAGCGGGUAGAAGUAUGUAAGCUUUCUGUUAUGAAGGUACAAUCGUUUAUAUUUGUAUUAAAAUAGCCUAUAAUGGGUGUAAUCUACAGGGCCUUGUAAGGGAACAUUUUUGAAGAGUAUCCAUUUCAGGGUAACAUGGCAGGUAAUAUUUCUGCAUAUUAUUUUCCCUUUCUGUUGUGGUAUAAUUAGCAACUAGAACGCGCUGUUAUUUUUAUGAACUGUCAAGUGUUUGAAACACUUAGACAUUUCCCCUCGUUGUUAAAAAGAACAAGAAAAAAUUCUAAAAUGCACUGAAUUUCGGAUUUAGCCUUUUAAAUAAAAUUGUUUGUGUGUCAUGGCGUAAGGGAACAGAUAUAGCUAAAACUAAAUCCAUGCGCGUGAAUUUUUUUAUUUCUAUGGAAAAAGAAAGCUAAAAAGAAUUGGAACCUUGCACUGAAAUUCGCGAAAAGCUUAGCAGGAUGGCUCAUACCGCUUGGAUAAUAUACUAAUAUAGAUAAUAUAUCUACGUAAAGCUGAACGAAGACUUAACUUGCAGGUGCGAGUUCUGGCGUGUGUCUUUAUUAAAUGAUUGUAAUUUUUUGGAAUUAGUUAAGUUAGGCGUACUGCUGCUAUGGGCACAAACUUGUUCAUUUUUAUUUUAGAGCGCCAUACAAUCGUAAGAAAGUACUGAUUUACGUUCUAUUUUCAAUGAACACUAUAUUUCGUUACGUUUUCCCCCCGAAUGCGAAAUAACACUCGAACCUCUCGCCUAGAACGGUUAUUCAGGAAUUAUUAAAUUAUGCCUGUGACUCCGAUACCAAAGAUCGUAAAAGAAGGCCCACACUACAUUUUCCCUCUUGACACAUCGAUGAAAAGCAAUGUCAUUUUGUUUGCGCUAUUUUGGAGAAGAAGAAAAAAAGCAUUUACAUUUAUUUAUGAUUGCUUAUUUAUUUGGCAGAGCACUUUAAAAUGUGGAAUUAUAUAUUAAAUACUUAUCACAUGAGCAACAAGAACAAAAGAAAAACUGUACGCUGGCAAGAAAUGUCUGUGCAUUACACACCCAAAGUAAAUUGAUAAAAUGUCAACAGGAAUAUUCGUGUAAUGUUAUGCCAUUUCUUCAACCAUUUUUUUUGCUGUUACAAUAUACAAGCAAUAUAAAAACUGAUGCAAAUCACCACGUGUAACCUAUUUCAUUGUAUUGAUUAAAGAUUUACCAAUUAUGACUUCAUAUCCUUCAAUUGUUGGCCAAGAUUAAGAAAAUAUUAUUUUCCCAGAACGAUGCUCUUUGAAAUGGACUAAUCUUUGCAAUUUCCAUUUUUUGUUUUUGUCUAUUGCUGCACUGUCUCUCAAUACCCGUGCCGAUAUGUUUCCUUUUUGUAAUUGAGAAAUAAUAAAUAUUAUCUUUACCAUUAA
RNA transcript from Conger conger (European conger), 2303 nucleotides. It is a transcript of the gene named coatomer subunit zeta-1-like, with no coding region annotated. The record is from RefSeq and is a predicted model, not a curated record. The transcript is spliced from 10 exons. Lineage: Eukaryota; Metazoa; Chordata; Actinopteri; Anguilliformes; Congridae.